CGUCUAUAUACGUAUAGCAUAUCAAUAAGCGGAGGAAAAGAAACUAACUAGGAUUCCCUCAGUAACGGCGAGUGAAGCGGGAAGAGCUCAAAUUUGAAAUCUUCAAGGUUCUACCUUGACGAAUUGUAGUUUAAAGAAGUGUUUUCUGUUGGAGUUUUGGUAAAAGUUCUUUGGAAUAGGACAUCAUAGAGGGUGAGAAUCCCGUAUUUGACCAUUAUUUCCAACUUUGUGAUACACUUUCAAAGAGUCGGAUUGUUUGGGAAUGCAGUCCAAAAUGGGUGGUAAAUUUCAUCUAAAGCUAAAUACUGGCGAGAGACCGAUAGCGAACAAGUACCGUGAGGGAAAGAUGAAAAGAACUUUGAAAAGAGAGUUAAACAGUACGUGAAAUUGUCAAAAGGGAAGCGUUUGACACCAGUGUUGUUUUUCUCGAAAAUCAAUUACAAGAUGGUGGGAUUUUGUGUUGUAUUGACUUUAUCAGCUUUCUGCACUCUUUUCCUGUCUUUUUUAAUGCACUUUUCGUUUAACAAGUCAACAUCAAUUUCUUUUGUUGUAAAAGAGUCAUUGGAAGGUGGCUUUCUUUUCGGAGAAAGUGUUUAUAGCCUUUGACUUCUGCAAUCGGAGAGAUUGAGGUCUGCAGCGUAGAUCCUUCGGGGUUAGAUGCAUUUGUGCUAAGCUAUAGCCUUUCAUAGACAACUUGUUGACUAUGAUCAGUCAUGUAGCUUACUCGCUUAUGUCUAUUUUACCUACGCUUAGGAUGUUGACGAUCAGCUGAGCGCG
RNAcentral lists this ribosomal RNA (777 nucleotides) under uncultured Neocallimastigales. RNAcentral's name for it is "partial large subunit ribosomal RNA". It matches the Rfam family "Eukaryotic large subunit ribosomal RNA", at positions 26 to 648 of the family's 3401-position model. The record is from RNAcentral. Lineage: Eukaryota; Fungi; Neocallimastigomycota; Neocallimastigomycetes; Neocallimastigales.